GAUGAACGCUAGCGGCAGGCUUAACACAUGCAAGUCGAGGGGUAUAGUUCUUCGGAACUAGAGACCGGCGCACGGGUGCGUAACGCGUAUGCAACCUACCUUUUGCAGAGGGAUAGCCCAGAGAAAUUUGGAUUAAUACCUCAUAGUAUGUGAGAAUGGCAUCAUUUUCACAUUAAAGUCACAACGGCAAAAGAUGAGCAUGCGUCCCAUUAGCUAGUUGGUAAGGUAACGGCUUACCAAGGCAACGAUGGGUAGGGGUUCUGAGAGGAAGGUCCCCCACACUGGUACUGAGACACGGACCAGACUCCUACGGGAGGCAGCAGUGAGGAAUAUUGGUCAAUGGACGCAAGUCUGAACCAGCCAAGUAGCGUGAAGGAUGAAGGUUCUAUGGAUUGUAAACUUCUUUUAUAUGGGAAUAAAAUCAUCUACGUGUAGAUGCCUGUAUGUACCAUAUGAAUAAGGACCGGCUAACUCCGUGCCAGCCGCCGCGGUAAGAC
RNAcentral lists this ribosomal RNA (497 nucleotides) under uncultured bacterium. RNAcentral describes it as "bacterial SSU rRNA". It matches the Rfam family "Bacterial small subunit ribosomal RNA", at positions 28 to 526 of the family's 1533-position model. The record is from RNAcentral.